GACGAACGCUGGCGGCGUGCUUAACACAUGCAAGUCGAACGGGCCCGCCCCUGUUUUUGGGGGUGGGUUGAGUGGCGAACGGGUGAGUAUCACGUGAGUAACCUGCCCCCUGCUCCUGGAUAACUGCUUGAAAGGGCGGCUAAUACGGGGUGUGCCGGCUGGUCCGCAUGGGCCUGGUCGGGAUAGUUUCAUCUUCGGGUGUUUCGGUGGGGGAUGGGCUCGCGGCCUAUCAGCUUGUUGGUGGGGUGAUGGCCCACCAAGGCGGUGACGGGUAGCCGGCCUGAGAGGGUGGGCGGCCACACUGGGACUGAGACACGGCCCAGACGCCUGCGGGAGGCAGCAGUGGGGGGUAUUGCACAAUGGGCGGAAGCCUGAUGCAGCGACGUCGCGUGAGGGAUGGAGGCCUUCGGGUGGGGAACCUCUUUCUCCGGGGGUGAAGGCCCUGUCCGGUGCGGCGGGGUUGACGGUAGCCGGGGAUGAAGCGCCGGCUAACUACGUG
This 499-nucleotide ribosomal RNA is filed under the name uncultured bacterium. Its description in RNAcentral is "partial 16S ribosomal RNA". It matches the Rfam family "Bacterial small subunit ribosomal RNA", at positions 28 to 507 of the family's 1533-position model. The record is from RNAcentral.